This is a non-coding RNA of Pangasius djambal, 74 nucleotides long. The record is from the annotation of a GenBank genome assembly. NCBI's taxonomy places the organism in Eukaryota, Metazoa, Chordata, Actinopteri, Siluriformes, Pangasiidae.
GGUAGUGGUAGCUCAGUGGUUAAGAUGUCGGCCUACUAAUCAGACGGUCAUGAGUUCAAUCUCCAGCACCACCA